RNAcentral lists this ribosomal RNA (377 nucleotides) under uncultured eukaryote. Its description in RNAcentral is "partial 18S ribosomal RNA". It matches the Rfam family "Eukaryotic small subunit ribosomal RNA", at positions 592 to 976 of the family's 1831-position model. The record is from RNAcentral.
CAAUAGCGUAUAUUAAAGUUGUUGCAGUUAAAAAGCUCGUAGUUGGAUUUCGGGGCAGCCUGGCUGGUCCGCCGCAAGGCGAGUACUGGUCAGCCGCCCUUCCUCUCGAAAGCCCCGACUGCUCUUUAUUGCAGUGGUCGGGUAGUUCGGGACGUUUACUUUGAAAAAAUUAGAGUGUUCAAGGCAGGCCUACGCCUGAAUACAUUAGCAUGGAAUAAUGGAAGAGGACCUCGGUCCUAUUUUGUUGGUUUCCAGGACCGAAGUAAUGAUUAAGAGGGACAGUUGGGGGCAUUCGUAUUUAAUUGUCAGAGGUGAAAUUCUCGGAUUUAUGAAAGACGAACAACUGCGAAAGCAUCUGCCAAGGAUGUUUUCAUUAA